GACGAACGCUGGCGGCGUGCCUAAUACAUGCAAGUAGAACGCUGAAGAGAGGAGCUUGCUCUUCUUGGAUGAGUUGCGAACGGGUGAGUAACGCGUAGGUAACCUGCCUUGUAGCGGGGGAUAACCAUUGGAAACGAUAGCUAAUACCGCAUAACAAUGGAUGACACAUGUCAUUUAUUUGAAAGGGGCAAUUGCUCCACUACAAGAUGGACCUGCGUUGUAUUAGCUAGUAGGUGAGGUAACGGCUCACCUAGGCGACGAUACAUAGCCGACCUGAGAGGGUGAUCGGCCACACUGGGACUGAGACACGGCCCAGACUCCUACGGGAGGCAGCAGUAGGGAAUCUUCGGCAAUGGGGGCAACCCUGACCGAGCAACGCCGCGUGAGUGAAGAAGGUUUUCGGAUCGUAAAGCUCUGUUGUAAGUCAAGAACGAGUGUGAGAGUGGAAAGUUCACACUGUGACGGUAGCUUACCAGAAAGGGACGGCUAACUACGUGCCAGCAGCCGCGGUAAUACGUAGGUCCCGAGCGUUGUCCGGAUUUAUUGGGCGUAAAGCGAGCGCAGGCGGUUUGAUAAGUCUGAAGUUAAAGGCUGUGGCUCAACCAUAGUUUGCUUUGGAAACUGUCAAACUUGAGUGCAGAAGGGGAGAGUGGAAUUCCAUGUGUAGCGGUGAAAUGCGUAGAUAUAUGGAGGAACACCGGUGGCGAAAGCGGCUCUCUGGUCUGUAACUGACGCUGAGGCUCGAAAGCGUGGGGAGCGAACAGGAUUAGAUACCCUGGUAGUCCACGCCGUAAACGAUGAGUGCUAGGUGUUGGAUCCUUUCCGGGAUUCAGUGCCGCAGCUAACGCAUUAAGCACUCCGCCUGGGGAGUACGACCGCAAGGUUGAAACUCAAAGGAAUUGACGGGGGCCCGCACAAGCGGUGGAGCAUGUGGUUUAAUUCGAAGCAACGCGAAGAACCUUACCAGGUCUUGACAUCCCGAUGCUAUUUCUAGAGAUAGAAAGUUACUUCGGUACAUCGGUGACAGGUGGUGCAUGGUUGUCGUCAGCUCGUGUCGUGAGAUGUUGGGUUAAGUCCCGCAACGAGCGCAACCCCUAUUGUUAGUUGCCAUCAUUCAGUUGGGCACUCUAGCGAGACUGCCGGUAAUAAACCGGAGGAAGGUGGGGAUGACGUCAAAUCAUCAUGCCCCUUAUGACCUGGGCUACACACGUGCUACAAUGGUUGGUACAACGAGUUGCAAGUCGGUGACGGCAAGCUAAUCUCUUAAAGCCAAUCUCAGUUCGGAUUGUAGGCUGCAACUCGCCUACAUGAAGUCGGAAUCGCUAGUAAUCGCGGAUCAGCACGCCGCGGUGAAUACGUUCCCGGGCCU
RNAcentral lists this ribosomal RNA (1369 nucleotides) under uncultured bacterium. RNAcentral describes it as "bacterial SSU rRNA". It matches the Rfam family "Bacterial small subunit ribosomal RNA", at positions 28 to 1381 of the family's 1533-position model. The record is from RNAcentral.